Molecule: long non-coding RNA, 305 nt
Organism: Oncorhynchus keta (chum salmon)
Lineage: Eukaryota; Metazoa; Chordata; Actinopteri; Salmoniformes; Salmonidae
Exons: 3
Source: RefSeq, a predicted model, not a curated record
CUCAAUCAGGUAUAAAAGCCUCAGCGAGCCCUGAGGAUAUGAUUAUGUAGUAUAAUGGCAUCAUCAGCAAGGACCCACUCCUGUCAACAGAGCUGCAACCGGCAAACAGGCAAAGGAGAGAUGUGGCUGCAGUGAAUUCUGUGGCUGGCGAGACCGUGGUGUCCAGUGGGGAGUUAUUCUGACCUGACCAUAACUACCUUCCACCUGUCAGGCCUGAAGAAAUACUUUUGAUCUACUUCAGCUAGGGAUGAAGGCCUCACUCUUUGACCUUGUAGCAUACACACAAUACAUAUUGUGACUUGUAA